GAAUGGCUCCUUACAUCAGCAGUCAUCUCCGCGACAGAGUGUGGUCGGCACCAGUCUGCCAUCGGUGCCCAGUUGGACAUCCUCCAAAACCUUGUGGCUAAUACACGUUCGCUCAGGUCGGCCAUGGUACACACUUGGGUUCCAGGCGCUUCCACGCACAAGGCCCCCGAUCAUCAGAGGGGUGUGGUGGUUGAUGGCACCCAGCCGGCACUAAGACCAGCGUCCCUCACCGGACAGUGUGUUGUGGCUGACCCAGGCUGGUCCCUACGGGACGGUUGCGCUGGCAGAGUUUCGGUGGCCCCGUCAUAACGGGCCACAGCCUCGGCUUGGUCGCACGAACUUCUGACCUAUCAGCCUCGACUGUGGUGUCGUGGACCCCAGUGGCCUUGACGGGUAACGGAGAAUCAGGGUUCGAUUCCGGAGAGGGAGCCUGAGAGACGGCUACCACUACCAAGGUGGGCAGCAGGCGCGCAAAUUGCCCAAUGCAAACCAAGUCUGCGAGGCAGCGACGAACUGCAGCAAUUCCACUGGCCUUCUUCGCCAGUGGGACUUGGAAUGGAUGCAAUCCAAAGACAGUGAUGAGUAACAACUGGAGGGCAAGUCUGGUGCCAGCAGCUGCAGUAAUUCCAGCUGCAAGGGCGUAUACUAACAUUGCUGCGGUUAAAGCGCUUGUAGUCUGCCACUGGGUCGCAGGUCUGCCGGGUGGCCGUGCCGUGGUGCGGCGGCGUGCGUGCCGACCGUCCCUCCCCCUCCCGUGUCGUUGCCCCUCGGGGUUGCGGCCGGGUUGGGCGGCUGGGGCGGCCGGAGGCACCCGCCCGCUGCGGUGCGGGCAAAACCCCCGGUGGUAUGCUCCUGCACCCGCCAAGUUUGCUCUCGACGGUGAGAUCCGCUCCUGCCCAAAGGCCCCCUUCACUGGGGGCCCCCAGCGGGUUCGCCCCGAACGCAGGUGUGGACAGUCACAGGCGGACCGGUGCCUCCACUGCCCGCGCCCGGUACCCUUUGCAACCGCCCGUCCACCUCCGGAGCCCACCGUCACAGACACCGUGGAAAACUCAGUGUGCUCAAGGCGUCCACCACUCGGCUGGAUGCCCGUCCAUGGCAUGUCAACGUACCGACCAAGCGCGGCACAGUGGAGUUGUGCUGGCCUUGGCGCCCGCUCUGGGCAAUGUGGUGCGCGCACCUGGCGCCCGCCGUCCGCAGCCAGACCCCCCUGCGGCCCCCCCGGUCCCGCCCGCCGCCCCCUCGCGGGGCUGGUGGGGCGUGGGCCAGGGUGUGGUCACGGGCGGGGCCCCCUGGUGGGCGACGGCCGUCCCGGCAGCGUGCACCGACCGAAUCCGAUGGGACCAGUCAGGGUGAAAGGUACUACGGCGCCAGAGGUGAAAUUCUUAGACCGCCGCAAGACCACCGGCGGCGAAGGCGCUUUGCAAGGCUGUGUUCGUCGAUCAAGAACGAGAGUCCGGGGAGCAAAGAUGAUCAGACACCGUCGUAGUCCGGCACCGUCAACCGUGCCAGCUCGGCCUCGGUGGGGAAAUUCCAUCGACCCCGCCGGGGCCACGCCCCCUCCAGCGAGGAAUCCAAGCCCAUGGGUUCCGGGGGGAGUACCUUCGCAAGGCUGAAACUUAAAGGAAUUGACGGAAUGGCACCACAAGGCGUGGAGUAUGCGGCUUAAUUUGACUCAACGCGGGGAAUGUUACCAGGUCAGGACAUUGCCAGGAUGGACAGACUGAGAGCUCUUUCUUGAUUCGAUGGACGGUGGUGCAUGGCCGCUCCUGAUUGGUGGAGUGAUUUGUCUGGUUGAUUCCGAUAACGAGUGAGACCUCUGCCUCCCACUAGCCUCGGGCUCGCAUUUGGUAGGGUCAAGGACCGCACGGCGGCGGCCGCGUCACGGCGAGGGCCUCGGCCCCCGUCGCCGCGGACACGUGCCCGCGGUCCGCCCGAGAGCCCCGAGUUUUCAAGCUUCUCUGAGGCGCUGUGUACGCCACCAAGUGCACGCAUGCUAGAGCCAACAGCAGGUCUGUGAUGCUCCCAGAUGUCCUGGGCCGCACGCGCACUACACUGACCCGGUGAGGGGGUCAUCAUUCCGCUGGCGAUCCCGUCCAGCCCUGCCCGGAAGUGGGUGGGAAACCCUGCAAGCCCGAGUCGUGCUGGGGAUAGAUGCUUGCAACUGUCUGCCUUGAACGUGGAAUGCCUAGUAGGCGUGAGUCAUCAGCUCACACCGA
RNAcentral lists this ribosomal RNA (2219 nucleotides) under Euglena deses. RNAcentral describes it as "SSU rRNA". It matches the Rfam family "Eukaryotic small subunit ribosomal RNA", at positions 91 to 1644 of the family's 1831-position model. Lineage: Eukaryota; Euglenozoa; Euglenophyceae; Euglenales; Euglenaceae. The record is from RNAcentral.